AGUGAACGCUGGCGGUAGGCCUAACACAUGCAAGUCGAACGGCAGCACAGUAAGAGCUUGCUCUUACGGGUGGCGAGUGGCGGACGGGUGAGGAAUACAUCGGAAUCUACUUUUUCGUGGGGGAUAACGUAGGGAAACUUACGCUAAUACCGCAUACGACCUACGGGUGAAAGCAGGGGAUCUUCGGACCUUGCGCGAUUGAAUGAGCCGAUGUCGGAUUAGCUAGUUGGCGGGGUAAAGGCCCACCAAGGCGACGAUCCGUAGCUGGUCUGAGAGGAUGAUCAGCCACACUGGAACUGAGACACGGACCAGACUCCUACGAGAGGCAGCAGUGGGGAAUAUUGGACAAUGGGCGCGAGCCUGAUCCAGCGAUACCGCGUGGGUGAAGAAGGCCUUCGGGUUGUAAAGCCCUUUUGUUGGGAAAGAAAAGCAGCAGGUUAAUACCCCGCUGUUCUGACGGUACCCAAAGAAUAAGCACCGGCUAACUUCGUG
RNAcentral lists this ribosomal RNA (492 nucleotides) under uncultured bacterium. RNAcentral's name for it is "partial 16S ribosomal RNA". It matches the Rfam family "Bacterial small subunit ribosomal RNA", at positions 29 to 507 of the family's 1533-position model. The record is from RNAcentral.